GUGCUUGCUUUGGCAGCACAUAUACUAAAAUUGGAACGAUACAGAGAUUAGCAUGGCCCCUGCGCAAGGAUGACACACAAAUUUGUGAAGCGUUCCAUAUUUUU
This is a small nuclear RNA of Ursus maritimus (polar bear), 104 nucleotides long. The record is from Ensembl. Lineage: Eukaryota; Metazoa; Chordata; Mammalia; Carnivora; Ursidae.